RNAcentral lists this ribosomal RNA (507 nucleotides) under uncultured bacterium. Its description in RNAcentral is "partial 16S ribosomal RNA". It matches the Rfam family "Bacterial small subunit ribosomal RNA", at positions 30 to 543 of the family's 1533-position model. The record is from RNAcentral.
GACGAACGCUGGCGGCGUGCUUAACACAUGCAAGUCGAACGGAAAGGCCCUGCUUUUGUGGGGUGCUCGAGUGGCGAACGGGUGAGUAACACGUGAGUAACCUGCCCUUGACUUUGGGAUAACUUCAGGAAACUGGGGCUAAUACCGGAUAGGAGCUCCUGCUGCAUGGUGGGGGUUGGAAAGUUUCGGCGGUUGGGGAUGGACUCGCGGCUUAUCAGCUUGUUGGUGGGGUAGUGGCUUACCAAGGCUUUGACGGGUAGCCGGCCUGAGAGGGUGACCGGCCAUGUGGCGACGGGGAUACGGCCCAGACUCGUAGGGGGGGCAGUAGGGGGAAAUGUUGCACACGGGGCGGAAGGCGGAGGCGGCAAGGCGGCGGGCGGGGUGAGGGCCUGGGGGGUGUGACCCGCGUCCGCCUGGGGCGAAGGGGGAGUGCGGAUAAGGGCUAAAGAAGCACGGGCUAACUACGGGCCGGCAGCCGCGGGAAAGGAGAAGAGCAGACUUCGGAGC